GAUUAAUACCGGAUCGGUUUCCUGCUGCAUGGCAGAAGGACCGAAGAUUCAUCGUUCAGGGAUGGGCUCGCGCCCCAUUAGCUUGUUGGUAGGGUAACGGCCUACCAAGGCUUUGACGGGUAGCUGGUCUGAGAGGAUGGUCAGCCACACUGGGACUGAGACACUGCCCAGACUCCUACGGGAGGCUGCAGUCGAGAAUCAUCCGCAAUGGGCGAAAGCCCGACGGUGCGAUGCCGCGUGAGGGAUGACGGCCUUCGGGUUGUAAACCUCUGUCAGGAGGGACGAAGAAUGUGACGGUACCUCCAGAGGAAGCCACGGCAACUACGUGCCAGCAGCCGCGGUAAUACGUAGGUGGCGAGCGUUAUUCGGAUUUACUGGGCGUAAAGGGUCCGCAGGGGGUUUGCCAAGUCUGAUGUGAAAUCCCGAGGCUCAACUUCGGAACUGCAUUGGAUACUGGCGAACUAGAGUGCACGAGGGGUGAGCGGAAUUCCAGGUGUAGCGGUGGAAUGCGUAGAUAUCUGGAAGAACACCGAUGGCGAAGGCGGCUCACUGGCGUGCUACUGACCCUCAUGGACGAAAGCGUGGGUAGCGAACAGGAUUAGAUACCCUGGUAGUCCACGCCGUAAACGUUGUGCACUAGAUGUGGGCGGUUUUGAUCCCGUCCGUGUCUCAGCUAACGCGAUAA
This 685-nucleotide ribosomal RNA is filed under the name uncultured Lentisphaerota bacterium. RNAcentral describes it as "bacterial SSU rRNA". It matches the Rfam family "Bacterial small subunit ribosomal RNA", at positions 161 to 863 of the family's 1533-position model. Lineage: Bacteria; Pseudomonadati; Lentisphaerota. The record is from RNAcentral.